UGCCGCGUGAGGGAUGACAGGGGUCAGCCUUGUUAACCACUGUGGGACGGGACGAGAAGGCACCACGGGCGCCCGGGACGGUACCGUCAAAAGAAGGGUCGGCUAACUACGUGCCAGCAGCCGCGGUAAUACGUAGGACCCAAGGGUUGUCCGGAUUUACUGGGUAUAAAGGGUGCGCAGGCGGUCGAGUGCGUCAGAAGUGAAAUAUCCGGGCUUAACCCUGAGGGUGCCUUUGAUACGGCUUGACUUGAGUCCGAGAGAGGGUGAUGGAAUUCCUGGUGUAGCGGUGAAAUGCGUAAAUAUCAGGAGGAACACCGGUGGCGAAGGCGGACACCUGGCUCGGCACUGACGCUCAGGCACGAAAGCGCGAGGAUCAAACAGGAUUAGAUACCCUGGUAGUCC
RNAcentral lists this ribosomal RNA (402 nucleotides) under uncultured Legionella sp. RNAcentral describes it as "bacterial SSU rRNA". It matches the Rfam family "Bacterial small subunit ribosomal RNA", at positions 395 to 796 of the family's 1533-position model. Lineage: Bacteria; Pseudomonadati; Pseudomonadota; Gammaproteobacteria; Legionellales; Legionellaceae. The record is from RNAcentral.